AGUGUAAACUCUCGACUGGAGGAAGGGAAGCAUGACCACACCACGGUCCUUCGUUUUUCCUUUUUUUCCCUUAAACAUCUUUUAUUUCUGUUAAUAACACAUCGUACUACGUACCUAAUAUUAUCGUCGAGACGAAGAAUUAAUGGUUUUCGCUGAUAUUGCAAUAAAUUCGAUAUAUUCUGCAUAAAAUUUCGAAUAUUAUGUUUGAUGGUGUUUUAAUAUCGACGAAAGAGAACGAUUCGAGCAGCUAAAAUUUGGCGCGAAAACGUGCAUGAUGGCGUCAUCAAUUUAUUUUGCAGAUUAGUUUUACUUCGUGAUAGAUAUAAUUUUUACUCUUCAAAUUUAUAUUUUUGGAUAUAAUCUUACUGGCAGACAACGACGAUAGGACUAUCUUCUUUCAGAAUUUUCUGUGCCGAUUGCCAUAAUGUCACUAAUGACAUGGUCGCAGAUAAAAUCUGCGAAUCUAACCUCUGAAUUAUCGACGAUUAUCAAUUUCUCUAACGUGUAAUACUCAAAUGUUGUGAAUUCUUUCGUUCGAACAUUUAUAUAUGGUACUGGUUUAAAUUCUCUCUUUGGAACAAUAGGACAACACGUCUGUACAAAGUGAACUCAAUUCGUUUCUCCGGUCCACAAAAAGAAGUGCAGGCUGCAAUUUUUCCAACAUAAUGCGCAUAAGGAAUUAAGUUUGAAAAUGUGAUAUUGGUGAUCGCAGUCGAAAGGUAUAAAGGAGCAUCCCAUUGCAAAUUGAUUUUCGACGAUGUCAAUGUCAUUCUGAAAUUCCUUAUUUCCGAUGGCGCUAUUGUAAACAGAUAUCAUCAGAGAUGAUGGAAUCGAUCGAGGAAUUGAAUUUGAAAAACUGGGCUACCUUCAUGAAGAGUUCGAACUUCUUGUGAAAAUAAUGAUAUCAUUGCUCCUUUGCUGAUUGUAACUUUAUAGAAGGUAUAAGAUUCUCAAACACGAAGUCGUACCAGUUACUUGGACAAGGAUACAAGGAUCCCUAAAAAUCGAUAAAACAUUUUCAAACGGCAU
This is a long non-coding RNA of Apis florea (little honeybee), 1029 nucleotides long. The record is from RefSeq and is a predicted model, not a curated record. NCBI's taxonomy places the organism in Eukaryota, Metazoa, Arthropoda, Insecta, Hymenoptera, Apidae.